GCCAGAACUCCUUCCUCUCCGAAGACCUCGGGGGUGGGGCUCGCGCUUCCGCAGCGGGCCUAGAGCGAGAGGCAGGCGGCAGGGAGAGGCUGUCGAUGCUGAGGCACGAGAGAAUUUGCUCCUGCUCCUCCAGAGAAAAUGGCUGGGACAGGCUGUUGAGGAAUAAUUCUGCAGGGAAAAGUGGAAGAUGGCUGUGAAAGACUGGGAGGAGGCUGGCUAUGUUUUCAGGGGUUCUUCCUGCACAGUCGGUAGAAGCUGAGCUGCUGGGGAAGGGGCUGGAAGAAAGCCCACACCGCAGCUGCUGCAGUUCCUGCUCCGGGAAGGUUGCUUUCCGCUCUGGUGAGCUGGGGUUUCUGGCAGGGGCUGGCUCCAGGGAGGACAGAGGUAAGGGUUCCCACAUCCCAGACUCCUCCUUGCUCAAAGUCAAGGGAGGAGACUUGUUUGGCUCUGGGGGCUCUGGUGGGAGAGGAGGCUGGAGCUUAGGGGCUCUGCCUGUUGUCUCCUCAGCUGGCCGGGGCCCUGGGGCCCUUGG
RNAcentral lists this long non-coding RNA (532 nucleotides) under Pan troglodytes (chimpanzee). Its description in RNAcentral is "long non-coding RNA NONPTRT007086". Lineage: Eukaryota; Metazoa; Chordata; Mammalia; Primates; Hominidae. The record is from RNAcentral.